Molecule: ribosomal RNA, 480 nt
Filed under: uncultured bacterium
Lineage: Bacteria
Description: SSU rRNA
Rfam family: Bacterial small subunit ribosomal RNA
Source: RNAcentral
AGGACGAACGCUGGCGGCGUGCUUAACACAUGCAAGUCGAGCGAGGCUUCUCCUUCGGGAGAUGUCCUAGCGGCGAACGGGUGAGUAACACGUGGGCAACCUGCCUCUAGCUCUGGGAUAACUCCGGGAAACCGGGGCUAAUACCGGAUACGACCUCGAACGGCAUCUAUCGAGGUGGAAAGUUUUUCGGCUAGAGAUGGGCCCGCGGCCUAUCAGCUUGUUGGUGAGGUAACGGCCCACCAAGGCGACGACGGGUAGCCGGCCUGAGAGGGGCGACCGGGCCAACGACUCGGGACUGGAGACACGGCCUAGACUCCUACGGGAGGCAGCAGUGGGGAAUAUUGCGCAAUGGGCGAAAGCCUGACGCAGCGACGCCGCGUGUGGGAUGACGGCCUUCGGGUUGUAACCACUGUCGCGAGGGACGAAGAUCUGACGGUACCGUCGAAAGGAAGCACCGGCUAACUCUGUGCCAGCAGCCGC